This 468-nucleotide ribosomal RNA is filed under the name uncultured bacterium. RNAcentral describes it as "partial 16S ribosomal RNA". It matches the Rfam family "Bacterial small subunit ribosomal RNA", at positions 28 to 507 of the family's 1533-position model. The record is from RNAcentral.
GACGAACGCUGGCGGCGUGCUUAACACAUGCAAGUCGAACGGAAAGGCCCUGCUUUUGUGGGGUGCUCGAGUGGCGCACGCGUGAGUAACACGUGAGUAACCUGCCCUUGACUUUGGGAUAACUUCAGGAAACUGGGGCUCAUACCGGAUAGGAGCUCCUGCUGCAUGGUGGUGGUUGGAAAGUUUCGGCGGUUGGGGAUGGACUCGAGGGUUCUCCGCUUGUUGGUGGGGUAGUGGCUUACAAAGGCUUUGACGGGUAGCCGGCCUGGGCGGGUGACCGGCCACAAUAGGACUGAGGGAGGGCCCAGACUCCAACGGGAGGCAGCAGUGGAGAAUAUUGCACAAUGGGCGGAAGCCUGAUGCAGCAACGCCGCGUGCGGGAUGACGGGCUUCGGGUUGUAAACCGCUUUCGCCUGUGACGAAGCGUGAGUGACGGUAAUGGGUAAAGAAGCACCGGCUAACUACGUG